AUGUUCCCUUUGGCCUCAUAUAUACUCAAGUUAGAAUGAUAUAGAGAAUACUAGCACGGCUCCUGAGCAGAUAAUGUGCAAAUUCAUGAAGUAUUCCAUAUUUUU
This is a small nuclear RNA of Cricetulus griseus (Chinese hamster), 105 nucleotides long. The record is from Ensembl. Lineage: Eukaryota; Metazoa; Chordata; Mammalia; Rodentia; Cricetidae.